RNAcentral lists this ribosomal RNA (156 nucleotides) under uncultured Actinomyces sp. RNAcentral describes it as "partial 16S ribosomal RNA". It matches the Rfam family "Bacterial small subunit ribosomal RNA", at positions 621 to 776 of the family's 1533-position model. The record is from RNAcentral. Lineage: Bacteria; Bacillati; Actinomycetota; Actinomycetes; Actinomycetales; Actinomycetaceae.
CUGUGGUGGGUACGGGGUGGCUUGAGUGCAGUAGGCGAGACUGGAACUCAUGGUGUAGCGGUAUAAUGCGCAGAUAUCAGGAAGAACACCGGUGGCGAAGGCAGGUCUCUGGGCCGUUACUGACGCUGAGGAGCGAAAGCCCCGGGAGCGAACAGG